UUCGCAAUGCCCGAAAGGGUGACGAAGCGACGCCGCGUGAGCGAAGAAGGCCUUAGGGUUGUAAAGCUCUGUCAGGGGUUAAGAAAUGCAGGCAGGUUAAUACCCUGUUUGUUUGACAAAGGCCCCAAAGGAAGCCACGGCUAACUCUGUGCCAGCAGCCGCGGUAAUACAGAGGUGGCGAGCGUUGUUCGGUAUUAUUGGGCGUAAAGAGCACGUAGGUGGUUUUGUAAGUCAGAUGUGAAAGCCUUCCGUUCAAAGGAAGAACGGCAUCUGAAACUGCUGAUCUUGAGUGUAGGAGGGGAGAGUGGAACUUCUGGUGGAGCGGUGAAAUGCGUAGAUAUCAGAAGGAACGUCGGCGGCGAAAGCGACUCUCUGGCCUAUUACUGACACUGAGUGUGCGAAAGUUAGGGGAGCAAACGGGAUUAGAUACCCCGGUAGUCCUAACCGUAAACGAUGGGCACUAAGUAGAGGGGUUUU
This 477-nucleotide ribosomal RNA is filed under the name Candidatus Scalindua wagneri. RNAcentral describes it as "bacterial SSU rRNA". It matches the Rfam family "Bacterial small subunit ribosomal RNA", at positions 365 to 832 of the family's 1533-position model. The record is from RNAcentral. Lineage: Bacteria; Pseudomonadati; Planctomycetota; Candidatus Brocadiia; Candidatus Brocadiales; Candidatus Scalinduaceae.